RNAcentral lists this transfer RNA (75 nucleotides) under Candidatus Saccharimonadota bacterium. Its description in RNAcentral is "tRNA-Met". It matches the Rfam family "tRNA". From Rfam's summary of the family: Transfer RNA (tRNA) molecules are approximately 80 nucleotides in length. Their secondary structure includes four short double-helical elements and three loops (D, anti-codon, and T loops). Lineage: Bacteria; Candidatus Saccharimonadota. The record is from RNAcentral.
UGCGGGGUGGAGCAGCGGCAGCUCGCGUGACUCAUAAUCACGAGGUCGUAGGUUCGAGUCCUACCCCCGCAACCA